This 274-nucleotide ribosomal RNA is filed under the name uncultured bacterium. RNAcentral's name for it is "partial 16S ribosomal RNA". It matches the Rfam family "Bacterial small subunit ribosomal RNA", at positions 523 to 796 of the family's 1533-position model. The record is from RNAcentral.
AUACGGAGGGCGCAAGCGUUGCCCGGAAUCACUGGGUGUAAAGGGUGCGUAGGCGGGGCUGUAAGUCAGAGGUGAAAGCCCUCGGCUCAACCGGGGAAUUGCCUCUGAUACUGCAGCUCUUGAGUCCCGGAGAGGCCGCUGGUAUUCCUGGUGUAGCGGUGAAAUGCGUAGAUAUCAGGAGGAACACCGGAGGCGAAGGCGGGCGGCUGGACGGGGACUGACGCUGAGGCACGAAAGCGUGGGGAGCGAACAGGAUUAGAAACCCCGGUAGUCC